UGGGGAAUAUUGCACAAUGGGCGAAAGCCUGAUGCAGCAACGCCGCGUGAGUGAUGAGGGCCUUCGGGUUGUAAAGCUCUGUCUUUUGGGACGAUAAUGACGGUACCAAAGGAGGAAGCCACGGCUAACUACGUGCCAGCAGCCGCGGUAAUACGUAGGUGGCAAGCGUUGUCCGGAUUUACUGGGCGUAAAGGAUGCGUAGGCGGAUUUUUAAGUGAGAUGUGAAAACCCUAAGCUUAACUUGGGGACUGCAUUUCAUACUGGAAAUCUAGAGUGCGGGAGAGGAGAAUGGAAUUCCUAGUGUAGCGGUGAAAUGCGUAGAGAUUAGGAAGAACACCAGUGGCGAAGGCGAUUCUCUGGACCGUAACUGACGCUGAGGCAUGAAAGCGUGGGUAGCAAACAGGAUUAGAUACCCUGGUAGUCCACGCCGUAAACGAUGAGUACUAGGUGUAGGAGGUAUCGACCCCUUCUGUGCCGCAGUUAACACAAUAAGUACUCCGCCUGGGAAGUACGAUCGCAAGAUUAAAACUUAAAGGAAUUGACGGGGGUCAUAGCUGUUUCCU
Molecule: ribosomal RNA, 563 nt
Filed under: uncultured bacterium
Lineage: Bacteria
Description: partial 16S ribosomal RNA
Rfam family: Bacterial small subunit ribosomal RNA
Source: RNAcentral